GCCUUCGGAAGCAAUGGCUAGCCAGGCGCAGGGAACUCCGAGAGGCCUUGCAAAGCAACCGCCGCGUAUUUCUACAGUUCCUUAGAUCAAACACAAUGGGGACUGCCAGAGUGCCGUGCGGCCGUCACCACAGCAACCGAGCGGCGAGUGAACAGGUCCUGAUGGAUGCUGAUGGAUCUCAGGGAUGAGCCGCAGCAGAAAGGGAGUGACCAGAGAGGAGCCUGAUUAAAAGUAGCGGAGCGCGGCGGUGAGUGAUAACCCCGAUCCGGUGGUGAUGAAUCCACUCUGGACGGGCUGCUGUCUCAUUAGACGCUGCCCUCGGCCAGGCACCGGGUGUCCAAAUAAACGCUGCAACAAUCCGGCUUUUAUCAGCAGGCUUAGGCUUGUUUUGCUUUCGGCGGCUUCACUUGUGUGGGCUCGUAUUGGAGCAUCCUCCGCCCCUGGUGGGUCUCCAUAAACCUGAGGUGUGAUUCACCACUGUGUUUACACUAAUCUGGGUCUAUCUCUGCUGGAAUUAAUGAGACCAACAGCAGCAUUAGGCGGGGGGGUCUUGCGGAGCCUGUGUGAAGCAGUGAGAAAAGGCUGAAAUAAUCUGCCUUUUAUUUGUCAUAACAUAAACAUCGGAGUUGUUUAAAAGGCUGAUAACAUUAAAUAUUGGCCCGAGGGAGGUGGUAGUUUACAUUCUCGCUGGAGUAGUCUUGAUAACAGGCCAGAGGCAAUCUGAAACCCUUUAAAUAUGCGCAUUAGUGUAAUUUAUUGGGCUCUCGCAGCUCUCUGCUCUCCCCGCAACCAAAAAACAGGCCAAGGUUCAGCAAAGGAGAGUAAGAUCAACCACUUCUGAUAAUCUCAUAAAAGUACGAAGGACUAUUUGGGGAGCGAUAGUAAAAUUAUGUGAAGACUGUCAUA
Hippocampus comes (tiger tail seahorse) is the source of this 906-nucleotide long non-coding RNA. RefSeq lists it as uncharacterized. The record is from RefSeq and is a predicted model, not a curated record. The transcript has 3 exons. NCBI's taxonomy places the organism in Eukaryota, Metazoa, Chordata, Actinopteri, Syngnathiformes, Syngnathidae.